RNAcentral lists this ribosomal RNA (253 nucleotides) under uncultured bacterium. RNAcentral's name for it is "partial 16S ribosomal RNA". It matches the Rfam family "Bacterial small subunit ribosomal RNA", at positions 524 to 776 of the family's 1533-position model. The record is from RNAcentral.
UACGGGGGGAGCAAGCGUUGUUCGGAAUUACUGGGCGUAAAGGGCGCGUAGGCGGCCUUCUAAGUCGAACGUGAAAUCCCUGGGCUCAACCCAGGAACUGCGUCCGAUACUGGAAGGCUUGAAUCCGGGAGAGGGAUGCGGAAUUCCAGGUGUAGCGGUGAAAUGCGUAGAUAUCUGGAGGAACACCGGUGGCGAAGGCGGCAUCCUGGACCGGUAUUGACGCUGAGGCGCGAAAGCCAGGGGAGCAAACGGG